Molecule: long non-coding RNA, 1393 nt
Organism: Piliocolobus tephrosceles (Ugandan red Colobus)
Lineage: Eukaryota; Metazoa; Chordata; Mammalia; Primates; Cercopithecidae
Exons: 3
Source: RefSeq, a predicted model, not a curated record
AUUCUGGAAACAAGCUUGAGAAGAGAGGUGGCCUCCGCCUUGCAGUAGUGUUUUUUAUACAUGUUAACUGGCAGACGUGAUGCUGUGUGUUCAGCAAAUCCUGUUUCCUUACUCCUCCGACAUGCAUCUAGACUACAUUUCCCAGCCUUCCCUGCAAGGAGAGUGUCACAUGACUGAGUCUGACCAAUGGAAUGUGGGAGAAGUCGUCUCUUACAGGCAAAUAUGUGGUCCGUUCAAAGGACUAUCCCUUGUAAGAGUGGUUUCUCUGCACUGGGGGGAUCUCCCUCCUAUUUCCUUUUGAAGAUGGUGUUUGGCUGUGUGGAGAAGCUUUCAUGGGCCGGGAAAGGAGUCUCUUGCCCUACCUGCCAUCGCUGGACCUGCUCAGGAGUGGUGGGUCUGGUCUACCCUGGUCUCUGGGCACCGCAUCCACGUUCUCUGAGGCUGACUGGACUCUGCUUCGCCCUGAAAACUUCCAAUUCACAGCCAAUCUUCUUCCCAUAUGUUGUUUUUUUCUGUGGCUGCUCUAAUAAAGUCCCACAAACCCGGUGGUUGAAAACCACAGAAAUGUGUUCUUUCACAGUCCCAGAGGCCAGAAGUCUGAAACCAACGUGCGGGCAGUGCCGUGCCUCCUCUGAAACCUCUAGCGGAAGAUCCUUUCUUGCCUUUCCGGCUUUAGCCCUAGAUUUACAAAUGCAUCACUCCACUCUCUGCCUCCAAUGUCACACGGCAUUUUCCUCUUCUUGUAAGGACACCACUCAUAUUGGAUUAAGCCCCACCUAAUGACCUCGUCUUAAUUAUAUCUGCAAGGACCCUAUUUCCAAAUAAGGUCACAUUCACAGAUACUGGGGGUUAGGGCUGCAGCAUAUCUUUUUGGGGGACACAUUUCAACCAUAAGACUAUCCCAUUCAGCUCCUGGGUUUCCUCCACUCAGCUGCAGGGGUUGGGGGGUCUCUGUGAGACUGUCUUCAGCCCCUCUGCCUGGGGACUGGGGACCCUCAGUCAUUUCAGUCUGCUGCAGCCUGGCCACACUGGGUGCAACGUCAGGCCUAAGGUGAGCCUUGCAGACCCCUUAGGAUGCAUCCUGGGGACACAGGCACCAGCUCCGAUGUCCUCAGAUUCCCCAAACCUAUCUGAAUCUUUCCACUGCCCCCAGGCCCCUCACACCUGACCUCCAGCUUCCCUUCCUCUCCUCCUGCCCUGAAAGGGUCUUCCACUCCCCGCUGCUGUCUAGCAGGGACUCUCCUUGUGUCACAGUCCCCUUCCUCCCUAGUCAGAAAUGCAGAUGGUAUCCACACGGCUCUUCAUGGGACCAAACGCUUCAUGGUUUAAAUUUUAUGGUAGGAGAGAUGCUGGGGAGAGAGAAAAUGUACUGAAAUUAGCGACAGGGGAAACA